AGGGGAUAGCCGUUGGAAACGACGAAUAAUACCCUAUGAAACUAUCACUUCGCAUGAAGCGAUAGUCAAAGUGUUAGCGGUGUAAGAUGGACUUGCGUCUGAUUAGCUAGUUGGUGAGAAAAAGACCCACCAAGGCAACGAUCAGUAGCCGGCUUGAGAGAGUGUACGGCCACAUUGGGACUGAGACACGGCCCAG
Molecule: ribosomal RNA, 196 nt
Filed under: uncultured Eubacteriales bacterium
Lineage: Bacteria; Bacillati; Bacillota; Clostridia; Eubacteriales
Description: uncultured Clostridiales bacterium partial 16S ribosomal RNA
Rfam family: Bacterial small subunit ribosomal RNA
Source: RNAcentral